CCUACGGGCGGCUGCAGUGAGGAAUCUUUGUCAAUGGACGAGAGUCUGAACCAGCCAAGUAGCGUGAAGGAAGACUGCUCUAUGGGUUGUAAACUUCUUUUAUAUGGGAAUAAAAUGUUCCAAGUGUGGCAUUAUGUAUGUACCAUAUGAAUAAGGAUCGGCUAACUCCGUGCCAGCAGCCGCGGUAAUACGGAGGAUUCGAGCGUUGUCCGGAUUUAUUGGGUUUAAAGGGCGCGUAGGUGGUUUGUUAAGUCAGUUGUGAAAGUGUGCGGCUCAACCGUAAAAUUGCAGUUGAAACUGGCAGUCUUGAGUACAGUAGAGGUAGGCGGAAUUCGUGGUGUAGCGGUGAAAUGCUUAGAUAUCACGAAGAACUCCGGUUGCGAAGGCAGCUCACUGGACUGCAACUGACACUGAGGCUCGAAAGUGUGGGUAUCAAACAGGAUUAGAUACCCGGGUAGUC
RNAcentral lists this ribosomal RNA (460 nucleotides) under uncultured bacterium. Its description in RNAcentral is "partial 16S ribosomal RNA". It matches the Rfam family "Bacterial small subunit ribosomal RNA", at positions 338 to 795 of the family's 1533-position model. The record is from RNAcentral.